Molecule: long non-coding RNA, 321 nt
Organism: Hyaena hyaena (striped hyena)
Lineage: Eukaryota; Metazoa; Chordata; Mammalia; Carnivora; Hyaenidae
Exons: 2
Source: RefSeq, a predicted model, not a curated record
GUCUACUAGUGGCAGGAAACAAUUUCUGGGAAUUAGCAAAAAUAAUAAACAUUUUAUUCCUGUGAUACACUAAGGCUAUGGUCCCCAAAUUUGGACAUGCACCACUUUGGAGGACACAGCAGCAUGGCAAGGAUAUGGUACUUCUGUGCUGAAAUACCUUUUGGAUCAACCUAGAAAUGGAGGGGCACAGGUCAGUAGCAGGAAAUCGUGGUCAAGAGCUUUAUGAAAAUUAUCCUAUUAGUAGAAUCGUGGGAAUAUUACAGAUGUGGAUUGGAAACAUUAUUAGCACCUACUUAAUAAAGGAGAAGUAAAGGAAAAUGA